Molecule: long non-coding RNA, 5641 nt
Filed under: Triticum aestivum (bread wheat)
Lineage: Eukaryota; Viridiplantae; Streptophyta; Magnoliopsida; Poales; Poaceae
Description: long non-coding RNA (TAES_LNC028549)
Source: RNAcentral
AGGACUUCACCACUGCGCCAGGCCUGCCCUCAUAUUCUGGCAACACCUCACUUCUAAAAAUCAUGGGCUUGUUCAGGAUUAUUUGGUGAGCGCAAACAGAUUGCCCUCGGGGUGUGUCACCGACCUGGCGAGCUCUUGUGCGAGGAAGAGAUGGCCUUAAGUUGGGUUUAGUAAGAAGAGUUGGUAAUGGAUGCACAACCGAAGUUUGGCAUGAUAGAUGAAUCAUGUGGAAGCAUCUCUGAAACCUAUAGGGUGUUAAACACCGGUUCAGUUUGUUUCUGAUUUGAUAGAGGAAGGGUCAAAUCAAUGGAAUGAAGAGCUAGUAUGAGAGGUGUCUAUGCCUCCUCAUGCUGAUCUCAUUAUCCAACUACCACGACCGCUGUGAGAUAUUGAUGAUUUUCGGGCAUGGGUGUGGGAGAAAUCUGGUCCUUUCUCAGUGAGACCAGUGUCCAGCAACUGUUGGAUAAUGAACAGAUUGAACAACAGCCGUCCAGUUUGUCAUGUAGGGAAGAUGUUUGGAGUGCAGACUGUGGCAAUGACAACGAGUCUCUGUUCCAUUCUCUGGUUAGGUGUGCACAUGCCAAGCUGUUUUCGAAUGCAGCGUUAGAAAUUUUCGAUUUAAAAGCUCCCGCGUCUGCAUCUAGGCACUUGGGCCAUGGAUAUUUUGGACUCGGCAAUGGUUAACAAGAGGGAUUCAGCGGUUAUCGUCUCUGUUAUGUGGGCGAUUUGGAGCAGCAGGAAUAAAUACAUGCAUUAGGCGAUUCAAUAUCAACCGCUGCCAUCCAUGCAUCUGGUGGAGGCAUUCGUGAAGGCUCUGGAAGUGCCGCAGAAGGAGAAAAUGUGACGAAAUACCGGAGGGAGAGAUGGAGACCUCCUAAUUACAGGUGAACUAAAAUCAAUACUGAUGGUGCCCUGGACGCUGAGCAUGGUGUUGCUGGAGCGGGUUUCAUGGCGCACAAUCAUGAGGGAGUGUUUGUAGCAGCGAGGCCGAGGUAAUACAACAAUAUCACCAUUGCCGUGAUCCAUUGCUGCUUGCUUGGGUACAGGGUUUUCUGAAAGUGCAGAUUGAGACUGGUUGCCUUGCUGUUUUAACGAUGUGGCACAGUGGCAGCAGGGUCAGAAAUCUGAGGGGAUUCGUGAUCCAAGAGAUGAAGGAGUAUGCUGAGGCUUUUCAGGAGUUUGAGUCGAUCUUUGCAAGGAGAGAAGCAAAUCAAGCGGCACACCCCCGUGCAAAGGAACUUCUGAGUAUUUGAGUCUGUGGAGGUGUUUGGUUCCAGAGAAACACCGCAAACGUAAACGUAAUGGAGUUACGCUGGUACCGUAAACUGUCAAGAUCCUGGUUCUAAGUCACACGGAUCUAGCCUGUAACACUUCAUAAGUCACACCGAUCUAGCCUGUAACACCUCAUAUCACUUUGCGGCCUCACGCACGGUAUUCCCACGGGUGUCGCCUUACCAUGGCCCGGGACCAUUUGCGCCUUUUGGCUCACGUAUAUGAUAGUGUCGCUAGCAUCCAUAUGACAGAGAAUCCGGGCCGACAUGACUAGUCGUGAACCCAAAGUGGCACUAACUUACGGGGACAGGCAUACAUGAAUCAACAUCGAGCAUGUCGGUCAGCAGCGUGCGAAUCCGGGCUGUAGCACUGGGCUAACAGGACUCCGGGAACCCGGGCUGUAGCAGGCUAGGCAGGACUCCGGAUGUCACCGCGUGACAUUUCCUCGAAGGGACAGACACAGGAACGAAGUGAAUCACAUGCCGGCCAGUCAAGUGUUCCGGAGCAGUAGUGCUGGGCUAGCAGGACUCCGGUGAACCGGGCUGUAGCGGACUACUAUGGCUCAUGGAAGCACAAGACUACAUUUCCCCAUAAGAGAGGCUACCAAGGAUAAACAACUAGGUUGUCGGAUCCCACACAUACCAAGCAUUUCAAUCAUAUACACAAUAUGCUCGAUAUGUGUAAAUACAACAUGCCAUCACAACAUAACUCUACGACUCAAUAUUUAUUCAUUAGGCUCCGAGGAGCCAAGUAUUACAAACAUGGGCCUCAUGACCCCAACAUACAGAUCAUACAAGCAACAAGCACAUGCGGAAGCUUAACUUGUCUGAGUACAGACAACUACAAAUGAAGAAGGCUGAGAAGCCUGACUAUCUACAAGACCCUGCCGAGGGCACAAGAUCGUAGCUGAGGUAACACGCUAAACGUCGAAGUCCACACGACACUACUAGCGAGACUGACGUCUCUCUGCAAAAACAUAAAAUAGGCAAACGUGAGUACAAAUGUACCCAACAAGACUUACAUCAGAACUAACUACAUAUGCAUCGGUAUCAACAAAGGGGGUAGUGGAGUUUAACUGCAGCAAGCCAGCUUUGACUCAGUGGCUAACCUGAACUACGACUGCAAGCAACUCUUUGAGGUGGCGCACACGAGUCCACAUAUUCACCAAUCAAUACACCACUAUGGAUCCGCUCCCGUCUACAUAUGAGAACGCCAUCCAUAGCACUCACGCUUAUCUUGCCCAUUUUAGAGUAUCCACUUCAAGUUAUCUAUGAACUGUACAGGCAACCCAGAAGUCCUUUACCGCGGACACGGCUAUUCGAAUAGAUCAUUUAUAACCCUGCAGGGGUGUACUUCUUCACACAUGUUUCCACCACUUAGCGUCUGCACACGACAUGUGCUCGGCAGACUUCAAGCGAAAGCCGACGUGGGUGUAGACCACGACCUAACUAACCACACAAGUCUCUAGUCCAGGUUUAUCACCUAUUCGGGUUCCAUCCGCGAGGAGAUCCGGCCGGAGUUUCGCUCACAGCCCCAAACGAUGUGUGCAGGGUUCCCGAGACACCAAACGGGCGCUCGGUACACCGUGCCACGUGCCUACCGCAUCACAGCCCACCCCUCGGGUCAGCGCUGCGCACGGCCUCCAGCAUACUACAAACACCAGAAACUACUUGCAACUCCUGGACAAAGGACACGGGGGGUUAAUAAGUCGAGCGGGGUCAUAUUUCAGGGUCCAACGUGUGGUAGUAGCUGUUCAUGGAUCACAAACACAGAACUCAGUUCCUGAGGACGACUGCAAUGAGACAACCCACCAUGUACUCCUACAUGGCCUCUCACCGCUACCUUUACCAAAUUGUGUUCACACACUUAGCUCACACACAGUAGGACAUGUUCACACACCUCCAAUUCAUCCCCGAUGAAUCAGACCUGACACAACUCUAAGCAGUAGCAGGCACGGCAACAAGCAUGAAUGAGUAGACACAUCAGGGCUCAAACAACUGCUACUCAUGCUAGUGGGUUUCAUCUAUAUACUGUGGCAAUGACAGGUCAUGCAGAGGAUAAGGGGUUCAACUACCGCAACAAGUAACAGAUGAAUCAUUGUUGUCCUAAUGCAGUAAAAGAGAGCAGGAGCGAGAGAGUGGGUUUGUAUCGGAAUGAACAAGGGGUUUUAGCUUGCCUGGCACUUCUGAAGAUAGCAUUGAGUCUUCAUUAGUGUCAACGAUCACAACGUCGGAACAUCGUCUACCGAGAGGGGACAAAUACCGGCAACAGAGAAGAAAUACAAUCAAUGCAAUGCACAAUAUGAUGCAUGAUCAUGACAUGGCAAUAUGAAUGUGUUUUGGGCUAAUGCAAGCUAGAACAGAUUGAGAUGAGUCCAUUUGAACCAAAGAUUCAAAUGCAUUAUCUUGUUUCAUCUAAACAGCAAGGUUAGGUUGCUCUAACAUGCAUGAAACCAGUACAGAUGGAAAGAUUGGAUUUUUCUGAUAAUUUUUCAUAUAUAACACUUUGCAUUUGGAGUUACAGAUUAAUUUCUAUGAUUUUUAGAAGUUAGCACUAUUUUCUGGGAUUUCCUGAAUAAGAAUAAAUCCAGGAAAAGGUUAUCUGCGUCAGCAUGACGUCGGAGUGACGUCAGCAGGUCAAAGGCGCCAGCCCAGGUCAAACCUAACCAGUUGGGCCCACAGGUCAGUGACUCAGUUAGUUAACUGGGUUAAUUAGGGUUAAACUAAUUCUAACAAAAUGUCAGCAGGGCUGGGCCCACAUGUCAGUGGCUCAGGGUUAGUUUUGCGAGGGGAUUAACACCUAACAACGGUGAUUAGUACUAACUAACACCUAACUAAUCCAGUUAGGGCCGGCCCCACAUGUCAUAGUCUCUGGGCGGGGCCCAGCCGGGGUCAAAGUGGGUCAAACCCACCGGCGACUCGACGCCGGCGAGGCCCGAGAUGGCGACGCGGCUCGGAAAACGCCCACAGGGCACGGACGAGGCCGUUCUUGGGCUCGUUGGAGAGCCCUUGCAGGCGCGCGUCGAGUGGUGGUGGAGGCCGGGCCUAUGGUGGCCGGAGCCGACGACGGCGAGCUCCAAGGCGGCGGCCGGAGUUCGGGCAACGACGGGUUCGGCGCUACGGUGCAUGGGAGGAGGAGCUGGUGGGCGCUACGGGCUCCUGGGAGUGCACUGAGUGCAGUGACGCGCUCGGUUUGGACGGAGGCGAACCAAAACGGCGAUGGCGACAAGUCUGGCGCCGGUGAGGUUUUGGUAUCGACGGAAACGAGGGCUACGAUAAGCUAAUGGACAUGGGAGUAGGGGGGAUUAGUAGAGGAGCUCACGACGAGUGCAGAGGUGGCCUCGGCGUGCUUGGGGAAGCACCGGAGCGAGUGGGGCGACGAGAGGGAUCUCUGGUGGCCGGUGACGAAGAUGAUGAAGAUGGCGUCGAUGCAGGGCCUCCGGCAAGGCGUGGCUGUACGGAGAGGACGAGGGAGGCGUGGCGAUGCUCGUGGACACGUCGGAGAGGCUCGGGAAUGGCUGCGGCUGCGGCUAUGGCGAACGGCGGCGGCGGUGGCGUUCGGUGGUGAGAGGGAGAGAGAGCAGAGGAGGGGAGAGGCACGGGAGAGAGUGAGAGAGUGGUCGGGGCUGCGUGGCGUCGCGAGGGAGGCCCAGGGCGACGAGGGGGAAGCGGCAGGAAGCAGGAGGUGGCCGGGGCGCGUGGGCGCGCACGGCGGCCACACGCCUCUCAUCCUACUGGCGAGAGGUGGAAGAUGACUGGCAGCGGCGCUGGGCUGGGCCGGCCAGGUGGGCUGCGCCAGGUAGGUGGCCAGGUGAGUCUCCGCUCUUUUCCUUUCUGUUUUUCUUUUUAUUUGUUUUUGUUCUGUGUUUUGAAAUAGUAGAAAUACUAUUCCAUUUAGGAAGAACCUGAAAAUAUUCAGAGGCACAUUUGAAAAUAUUCUCAACAGCCUAAAAAUACCUUCAAGAUUAUUUGGGCGUUUUAAAAUAUUUAUAGGAUUUAAAUUGCCCAAAUGCAAAUACUUAUGGCUUGGUGCAAAAAUCCAGAAUAGCCUCCGAAAAUAUGAAACCAUUUUUGACAGAGGGUUUAGCGAGGACCAAAGAUGGUGAACAUUUAUGAAGGGCAUUUUGGGUUCAUUGAAAUUUCAAUUGUUGGAACCUAGUAUUUCAAAGGGGUGUUGGGGUUUGUUGGUCCCCAUUUUAGAUUUAAGAAAAAAAAAUUAGACAUGAUGCACACAUGAAGCUACCCUGGUGGAAUGCCAGAAGCUAGGGAUGUGACAUAAACGAACGAAACUCAAACUUGUUUGGUAGCGGACUGUAACGUAAUCAAUUCGUCUGCUGAAAUAAAAAAAAGCUAACAAAUCUCAAAAGAGC